UAUCCUGCAGCGUUUGCUUGGAGGAGUUCCAGACUCCUAUCACCUAUCUUUCCGAAGCAGUGGACGUUUACAGUGAUUGGAUCGACGCUUGUGAAGCAGCCAAUCAAUAGUCACGAUUUCCUUUUCACCCCACCUUCUCUUUUACAUUCCACCCCUGUGAUUGGUCCGUUAAUUAGCUUAGCACGAUGUAGCAAAAUCAAACAAUUGAAGCGUUAUUUUAUUUUGCUUUGUUUGGCCAAUUUUGCUACAGUGUGGCUGAGCAUCACACGUCCCUCUGGCUGGGACAGAGGGACGCCAUUUUGUGUUUUAGUUUUCAUACGUCAAUGAUUAGAUUAGGAAGAAAUAUGUUUUUUUAACUAUUAGAUCGUGAUUUUUCCCUUUUUCUGGACUCAAAAUGUAUGUUUUAAAUGUAAAUGACUGAAAUUCCCUCCAGCGUAAAACAUUCCACGUCUUUAUUUUUAUUAUUUUAGUUGUUGUAAUAAGUAUGUUUAUGAAACAGAAUUGUGUUUUUUUUGUUUUCAACCCCGUUAAAUGCCAAAUCUUUACCAAGCAUUUGUGUUUUUAUCUGUUUAUAAGUACAUAAAUCACAAUUAUGUACUUUGUAUUACACUACCUCCUGUGUAUUUUUAGGUAAUGACUGAGAAAAUGUAAUCAAAACUGUUUUCAAGUGUUUUUUAUUGCACAAAUGUCAUGUUUAGUGAAACGCGUACAAGUCGAAAAAUCAAGAAGUUAGAAAAAGUGUAACAUUUAAACAACGUUGAAACAAAGUCAUCACAUUAAGGUGAAAUGUUACUAGAAAGUUACUUAGCAUUUUGGACAGAACUAAAAAUGACAUUCAAGGGAACAAAGGGAAUGUUUGAUAAAUAAAAAAUACAGUAAGUGUACAUGUGCGUUUCCUCCACUAGAGGGCACACUUUGAUGCUGAAUUCAAGAGCUCUAAUCUACAUUUUCUGACACUAUUUCAAAGCCAAUAAAUGUAAAUAUUUCACAUUAAACUGCUUUAUGUUGUAACUCUAGAUCA
Long non-coding RNA from Gymnodraco acuticeps, 1021 nucleotides. RefSeq lists it as uncharacterized. The record is from RefSeq and is a predicted model, not a curated record. The transcript has 2 exons. NCBI's taxonomy places the organism in Eukaryota, Metazoa, Chordata, Actinopteri, Perciformes, Bathydraconidae.